Molecule: ribosomal RNA, 375 nt
Filed under: uncultured bacterium
Lineage: Bacteria
Description: bacterial SSU rRNA
Rfam family: Bacterial small subunit ribosomal RNA
Source: RNAcentral
GAUGAACGCUAGCGAUAGGCCUAACACAUGCAAGUCGAGGGGCAUCACAUGAAGUAGCAAUACGGAUGGUGGCGACCGGCGCACGGGUGAGUAACACGUAUGCAACCUGCCUUCAACAAGGGGAUAACCCGUUGAAAGACGGACUAAUACCCUAUAACACAGGGGUCCCGCAUGGGAAUAUUUGUUAAAGGACAACCGGUUGAAGAUGGGCAUGCGUUCCAUUAGCUAGUUGGCGGGGUAACGGCCCACCAAGGCAACGAUGGAUAGGGGAACUGAGAGGUUUAUCCCCCACACUGGUACUGAGACACGGACCAGACUCCUACGGGAGGCAGCAGUGAGGAAUAUUGUCAAUGGACGCAAGUCUGAACCAGCCAC